UUUGAUGGAGCCGAGGCGGACGGGGCGGUCGGCGGGGCGGUCCUGGCCGUAGGUGGCGAGCAGGGCCUGUGCCUC
RNAcentral lists this antisense RNA (75 nucleotides) under Streptomyces caatingaensis. RNAcentral describes it as "ASpks TB sRNA". It matches the Rfam family "ASpks TB sRNA". Lineage: Bacteria; Bacillati; Actinomycetota; Actinomycetes; Kitasatosporales; Streptomycetaceae. The record is from Rfam by way of RNAcentral.